This 2033-nucleotide ribosomal RNA is filed under the name Lamyctes brevilabiatus. RNAcentral's name for it is "SSU rRNA". It matches the Rfam family "Eukaryotic small subunit ribosomal RNA". The record is from RNAcentral. Lineage: Eukaryota; Metazoa; Arthropoda; Chilopoda; Lithobiomorpha; Henicopidae.
UCAUAUGCUUGUCUCAAAGAUUAAGCCAUGCAUGUCUAAGUACAUACCGCAUUAAGGUGAAAACCGCGAAAGGCUCAUUAAAUCAGUUAUGGUUCCUUAGAUCGUACCAAUCCUACUUGGAUAACUGUGGUAAUUCUAGAGCUAAUACAUGCCGAUAACGCUCUGACCACUCGCCCGGGACGAGCGCUUUUAUUAGAACAAGACCAAUACGGGCCACUCGAAACCGCGGGUCAAACCGCGGCGUAGAACCCGUCCAAAACUUGGUGACUCUGGAUAACUUUGAGCUGAUCGCACGGUCCUCGAACCGGCGACGCAUCUUUCAAAUGUCUGACUUAUCAACUGUCGAUGGUAGGUUAUGUGCCUACCAUGGUUAUAACGGGUAACGGAGAAUCAGGGUUCGAUUCCGGAGAGGGAGCCUGAGAAACGGCUACCACAUCCAAGGAAGGCAGCAGGCACGCAAAUUACCCACUCCCGGCACGGGGAGGUAGUGACGAAAAAUAACAAUACGAGACUCUUCCGAGGCCUCGUAAUUGGAAUGAGCACAUUUUAAAACCUUUAGCGAGGAUCUAUUGGAGGGCAAGUCUGGUGCCAGCAGCCGCGGUAAUUCCAGCUCCAAUAGCGUAUAUUAAAGUUGUUGCGGUUAAAAAGCUCGUAGUUGGAUCUCGGUGCCGGACCGACGGUCCGCCCUUCGCUUGGCGGUACACUGUUGGCCCCGGAGCCAUUAACCCCGCCGGCCUUUGUCCCUCGAUGCUCUUCACCGAGUGUCGUGCGGAGACCGGAACGUUUACUUUGAACAAAUUAGAGUGCUCAAGGCAGGCGCAGUCCCCGCCCGUAUAGCCCAGCAUGGAAUAAUGGAAUAAGACCUCGGUUCUAUUUUGUUGGUUUUCGGAACACGAGGUAAUGAUUAAUAGGGACUGACGGGGGCAUUCGUAUUGCGGCGCUAGAGGUGAAAUUCUUGGACCGUCGCAAGACGAACUACUGCGAAAGCAUUUGCCAAGAAUGUUUUCAUUGAUCAAGAACGAAAGUUAGAGGUUCGAAGGCGAUCAGAUACCGCCCUAGUUCUAACCAUAAACGAUGCCAACCAGCGAUCCGCCGGAGUUCCUCCGAUGACUCGGCGGGCAGUUUCCCGGGAAACCACAAGUUUUUGGGUUCCGGGGGAAGUAUGGUUGCAAAGCUGAAACUUAAAGGAAUUGACGGAAGGGCACCACCAGGAGUGGAGCCUGCGGCUUAAUUUGACUCAACACGGGAAAUCUCACCCGGCCCGGACACUGGAAGGAUUGACAGAUUGAGAGCUCUUUCUUGAUUCGGUGGAUGGUGGUGCAUGGCCGUUCUUAGUUGGUGGAUUUUUGAUCUGUCUGGUUGAUUCCGAUAACGAACGAGACUCUAGCCUGCUAAAUAGCUGGCCCAUACCAUCGGUGCGCCGUUACCGUGCCUUCGCGAACCGCGGUUCGGUGCCGUGUAGUUCUUUCGCUCUGAUCCGUUGCCGUCGCGCUGGCCGUAGUCUUUACCACGUGGGUUCGCGCUUGCGUGGGACUGGCGAAAGUCGUGCGGUGGUUUUCGGUGACGGGCGUUGCUGCGCGAGUCAUCCCGUGGGGAUGUUGGUGCGAGUCGGCCUCCGGAGUGGGUAAAAUGCUUCUUAGAGGGACAAGCGGCGUAUAGCCGCGCGAGAUUGAGCAAUAACAGGUCUGUGAUGCCCUUAGAUGUCCGGGGCCGCACGCGCGCUACAAUGGAAACUCGAACAGGUCCCCUGCCCUAGUUCGAGAGGACUGGGUAACCCUGUGAAUUGUUUUCAUGGUUGGGAUCGGGGCUUGAAACCAACCCCGUGAACUAGGAAUUCCCAGUAGGCGCGAGUCAUCAACUCGCGCCGAUUACGUCCCUGCCCUUUGUACACACCGCCCGUCGCUACUACCGAUUGGAUGGUGUAGCAAGGUAUUUGGAUUGACAUUUCUGGUGGCACUCGUGGUUGCUAGAUUCGUUGGAAAGAUACCCAAACUAUACCAUCUAGAGGAAGUAAAAGUCGUAACAAGGUUUCC